CCUACGGGGGGCUGCAGUGGGGAAUAUUGGACAAUGGGGGGAACCCUGAUCCAGCCAUGCCGCGUGUGUGAAGAAGGCCCUCGGGUUGUAAAGCACUUUCAGUGAGGAAGAACGCCUGGUGGUUAAUACCCAUCAGGAAAGACAUCACUCACAGAAGAAGCACCGACUAACUCCGUGCCAGCAGCCGCGGUAAUACGGAGGGUGCGAGCGUUAAUCGGAAUUACUGGGCGUAAAGCGCGCGUAGGUGGCUUGAUAAGCCGGUUGUGAAAGCCCCGGGCUCAACCUGGGAACGGCAUCCGGAACUGUCAAGCUAGAGUGCAGGAGAGGAAGGUAGAAUUCCCGGUGUAGCGGUGAAAUGCGUAGAGAUCGGGAGGAAUACCAGUGGCGAAGGCGGCCUUCUGGACUGACACUGACACUGAGGUGCGAAAGCGUGGGUAGCAAACAGGAUUAGAUACCCCAGUAGUC
This 465-nucleotide ribosomal RNA is filed under the name Vreelandella stevensii. RNAcentral's name for it is "partial 16S ribosomal RNA". It matches the Rfam family "Bacterial small subunit ribosomal RNA", at positions 338 to 795 of the family's 1533-position model. Lineage: Bacteria; Pseudomonadati; Pseudomonadota; Gammaproteobacteria; Oceanospirillales; Halomonadaceae. The record is from RNAcentral.